Molecule: ribosomal RNA, 433 nt
Filed under: uncultured bacterium
Lineage: Bacteria
Description: partial 16S ribosomal RNA
Rfam family: Bacterial small subunit ribosomal RNA
Source: RNAcentral
AACGAACGCUGGCGGCAUGCCUAACACAUGCAAGUCGAACGAGACCUUCGGGUUUAGUGGCGCACGGGUGCGUAAUGCGUGGGAACCUGCCCUUAGGUUCGGAAUAACUCCCUGAAAGGGGUGCUAAUACCGGAUAAUGUCUUCGGACCAAAGAUUUAUCGCCUUUGGAUGGGCCCGCGUUGGAUUAGCUAGUUGGUAGGGUAAAAGCCUACCAAGGCGACGUUCCAUAGCUGGUCUGAGAGGAUGAUCAGCCACACUGGGACUGAGACACGGCCCAGACUCCUACGGGAGGCAGCAGUGGGGAAUAUUGGACGAUGGGCGAAAGCCUGAUCCAGCCAUGCCGCGUGAGUAAUGAAGGCCUUAGGGUUGUAAAGCUCUUUUACCCGGGAUGAUAAUGACAGUACCGGGAGAAUAAGCUCCGGCUAACUCCGUG